CCUACGGGUGGCAGCAGUAGGGAAUCUUCCACAAUGGGCGAAAGCCUGAUGGAGCAACGCCGCGUGGGUGAAGAAGGUCUUCGGAUCGUAAAACCCUGUUGUUAGAGAAGAAAGCGCGUGAGAGUAACUGUACACGUUUCGACGGUAUCGAACCAGAAAGCCACGGCUAACUACGUGCCAGCAGCCGCGGUAAUACGGAGGUGGCAAGCGUUAUCCGGAUUUAUUGGGCGUAAAGGGAACGCAGGCGGUUUUUUAAGCCUGAUGUGAGAGCCUUCGGCUUAACCGGAGUAGGGCAUUGGAAACUGGGAGACUUGAGUGCAGAAGAGGAGAGUGGAACUCCAGGGGUAGCGGUGAAAGGCGUAGAUAUAUGGAAGAACACCAGUGGCGAAAGCGGCUCUCUGGUCUGUAACUGACGCUGAGGUUCGAAAGCGUGGGUAGCAAACAGGAUUAGAUACCCCUGUAGUC
Molecule: ribosomal RNA, 465 nt
Filed under: uncultured bacterium
Lineage: Bacteria
Description: partial 16S ribosomal RNA
Rfam family: Bacterial small subunit ribosomal RNA
Source: RNAcentral